RNAcentral lists this ribosomal RNA (497 nucleotides) under uncultured bacterium. RNAcentral's name for it is "partial 16S ribosomal RNA". It matches the Rfam family "Bacterial small subunit ribosomal RNA", at positions 28 to 507 of the family's 1533-position model. The record is from RNAcentral.
GAUGAACGCUGGCGGCGUGCCUAAUACAUGCAAGUCGAGCGAACAGACGAGGAGCUUGCUCCUCUGACGUUAGCGGCGGACGGGUGAGUAACACGUGGAUAACCUACCUAUAAGACUGGGAUAACUUCGGGAAACCGGAGCUAAUACCGGAUAAUAUAUUGAACCGCAUGGUUCAAUAGUGAAAGACGGUUUUGCUGUCACUUAUAGAUGGAUCCGCGCCGCAUUAGCUAGUUGGUAAGGUAACAGCUUACCAAGGCAACGAUGCGUAGCCGACCUGAGAGGGGGGUCGGCCACACUGGAACGGAGACACGGUCCAGGCUCCUACGGGAGGCAGCAGUAGGGUAUCUUCCGCAAUGGGCGAAAGCCUGACGGAGCAACGCCGCGUGAGUGAUGAAGGUCUUCGGAUCGUAAAACUCUGUUAUUAGGGAAGAACAAAUGUGUAAGUAACUAUGCACGUCUUGACGGUACCUAAUCAGAAAGCCACGGCUAACUACGUG